CUAGUAGUAAGUUAGGGGCUUUGGGAAGAGCAUCAGCUUUUUCAAACUUUUUGAAACAUCUGUUGGUCUAGUCUGAAAGAAUUGAUGCUCUUCUUAAAGCGCCCAAGUGACCCGCUAUAG
Molecule: microRNA precursor, 120 nt
Filed under: Ornithorhynchus anatinus (platypus)
Lineage: Eukaryota; Metazoa; Chordata; Mammalia; Monotremata; Ornithorhynchidae
Description: microRNA oan-mir-1326 precursor
Source: miRBase by way of RNAcentral